GGGUGGUUAGCUCAGCUGGCUAGAGCGUCGCAUUGACAUUGCGGAGGUCAUAGGUUCAAGUCCUAUACUACCCACCA
Molecule: transfer RNA, 77 nt
Filed under: candidate division WWE3 bacterium CG_4_9_14_0_2_um_filter_35_11
Lineage: Bacteria; candidate division WWE3
Also listed under: 1 other name
Description: tRNA-Val
Rfam family: tRNA
About the family: Transfer RNA (tRNA) molecules are approximately 80 nucleotides in length. Their secondary structure includes four short double-helical elements and three loops (D, anti-codon, and T loops).
Source: RNAcentral